AUACGUAGGGGGCGAGCGUUGUCCGGAAUUACUGGGCGUAAAGGGUGCGUAGGUGGCACUUUAAGUUGGAUGUGAAAUCCCCGUGCUUAACAUGGGAGCUGCAUCCAAUACUGGAGAGCUAGAGUGCAGGAGAGGUAAGCGGAAUUCCUAGUGUAGCGGUGAAAUGCGUAGAUAUUAGGAGGAACACCAGUGGCGAAGGCGGCUUACUGGACUGUAACUGACACUGAGGCACGAAAGCGUGGGGAGCAAACAGGAUUAGAUACCCUGGUAGUCCACGCUGUAAACGAUGAAUACUAGGUGUAGGGGGUAUCAACUCCCUCUGUGCCGCAGCAAACGCAAUAAGUAUUCCGCCUGGGGAGUACGGCCGCAAGGUUGAAACUCAAAUGAAUUGGCGGGG
RNAcentral lists this ribosomal RNA (397 nucleotides) under uncultured bacterium. Its description in RNAcentral is "partial 16S ribosomal RNA". It matches the Rfam family "Bacterial small subunit ribosomal RNA", at positions 523 to 918 of the family's 1533-position model. The record is from RNAcentral.